RNAcentral lists this long non-coding RNA (1202 nucleotides) under Homo sapiens (human). RNAcentral's name for it is "long non-coding RNA NONHSAT256776". Lineage: Eukaryota; Metazoa; Chordata; Mammalia; Primates; Hominidae. The record is from RNAcentral.
CCCAGUAGCCAUGAAAAAAAAGAUAGAUUUGACUACAUUUUUAAAAAGUAAAACCUUUCACUUUUUACAAAACUUUGAUAAAAUUAGAUUUCAUAAAUAAAGGAGUGGGAAAAUACAUGUAAUAGAACAGAAGAUUUAAGAUAAUAUAAAGAGCACCUACAAACAACAAAAAUUGGACAAAGGCUAUAAAAAUAUUUUAUAAAUAAGAAAUACAGACUAUAAACAUAAACUUUCAACCUCGUAAGCAAUCAGGAAAAUUAAAGUUAAAAUGAGAUACUAUUUUUCAAUACAUUGAAAUGGCAGAUUAUUAAAGAUUGGUGAUAGUGCUGGAGAUAAUGUGAGGAAAGGAGUAUUCUCAGUCAUUGUAGAAAUUGAUACAGCUUUUGGAUGGACAGUUUGACAGUGUGUAUCAACAUGUGAAAUGUCUCCAGCCUUUGAUCUAAUGACUAAUUUUAGGCAUCCAGCCUGAAGAAAUAUUCACACAAGUGCCCAAAGAGUCAGAUACAAGACUGUGUGAAGUGUUUUUUGAGAUAAUAAAAAACUAGAAACAGCAUAAAUGUACAGAAAUGCAGAAAUUGUUGAAUUAGUACAUACCAAUUUCUGACAUAUAACACUCUGCAGCAGAUAAAGACAAUAGCUCUCUAGUGUGGACAUGAAAAUAUUUCUAAGACAUUGACAGGACGAAGAAGUUGCACAGUAACCACGCACUCCUGUUUACAUUUGUAUAGUUAAAACUUGUUUACCUAUACGUAGCAUAUAUGCGUGUGUGCACCCUAGAAAAGAGUCUGUGAUAACACAUAUCAAGCUAUUGACAGCGGUUUUGUCUGCUGAAGGAGGAAAAAAGGGGGGCUUCUCACAUUUUACUCCAUUUAAUUCUAGGUUGUUUGGUUUAAAAAAAAAGUUUUUAUGUACAACAGACAAUUUUUAAAAUUCCUUUUCAUCAUAGAAAAUGAAAAUGUGUACUCUGUUAUCCUUUACGCUCUGUCCAUUUUUUUCUUCAAAAAUGUGUCUGACCUAUUAUCAAUGUGAAUGAAAAUGAGCUUUGCUACAUAACCUCUUUUCAGAGCUUUGUAUUCCUGAAGUGUUGGAGUCGCCUACAUGGCAUAGUCAAAUGUUUUUAACUUAACCACAACCCACAGUAAAAAUGAAGCUUUCUGCAAAGUUAAAAGUAGUAGUCCUGGCCCCACCUUCCUUGUGUGCAC